CACUCCUGCGGGAGGCAGCAGUGGGGAAUAUUGGACAAUGGGCGCAAGCCUGAUCCAGCCAUGCCGCGUGAGUGAUGAAGGCCCUAGGGUUGUAAAGCUCUUUCACCGGUGAAGAUAAUGACGGUAACCGGAGAAGAAGCCCCGGCUAACUUCGUGCCAGCAGCCGCGGUAAUACGAAGGGGGCUAGCGUUGUUCGGAUUUACUGGGCGUAAAGCGCACGUAGGCGGACUAUUAAGUCAGGGGUGAAAUCCCGGGGCUCAACCCCGGAACUGCCUUUGAUACUGGUAGUCUUGAGUUCGAGAGAGGUGAGUGGAAUUCCGAGUGUAGAGGUGAAAUUCGUAGAUAUUCGGAGGAACACCAGUGGCGAAGGCGGCUCACUGGCUCGAUACUGACGCUGAGGUGCGAAAGCGUGGGGAGCAAACAGGAUUAGAAACCCCGGUAGUCCCAAUGAU
This 452-nucleotide ribosomal RNA is filed under the name uncultured organism. RNAcentral describes it as "partial 16S ribosomal RNA". It matches the Rfam family "Bacterial small subunit ribosomal RNA", at positions 334 to 806 of the family's 1533-position model. The record is from RNAcentral.